AUAUGCGAUACCAGCACUAAAGCACCGGAUCCAUCAGAACUCCGCAGUUAAGCGUGCUUGGGCGAGAGUAGUACUAGGAUGGGUGACCCCCUGGGAAGUCCUCGUGUUGCAUCCC
RNAcentral lists this ribosomal RNA (115 nucleotides) under Ananas comosus (pineapple). Lineage: Eukaryota; Viridiplantae; Streptophyta; Magnoliopsida; Poales; Bromeliaceae. The record is from RNAcentral.